Molecule: ribosomal RNA, 468 nt
Filed under: uncultured bacterium
Lineage: Bacteria
Description: partial 16S ribosomal RNA
Rfam family: Bacterial small subunit ribosomal RNA
Source: RNAcentral
GACGAACGCUGGCGGCGUGCUUAACACAUGCAAGUCGAACGGAAAGGCCCUGCUUUUGUGGGGUGCUCGAGUGGCGAACGGGUGAGUAACACGUGAGUAACCUGCCCUUGACUUUGGGAUAACUUCAGGAAACUGGGGCUAAUACCGGAUAGGAGCUCCUGCUGCAUGGUGGGGGUUGGAAAGUUUCGGCGGUUGGGGAUGGACUCGCGGCUUAUCAGCUUGUUGGUGGGGUAGUGGCUUACCAAGGCUUUGACGGGUAGCCGGCCUGCGAGGGUGACCGGCCACAUUGGGACUGAGAUACGGCCCAGCGUCCUACGGGAGGCAGCAGUGGGGAGUAUUGCACAAUGGGCGGAAGCCUGAUGCAGCAACGCCGCGUGCGGGAUGACGGCCUUCGGGUUGUAAACCGCUUUCGCCUGUGACGAAGCGUGAGUGACGGUAAUGGGUAAAGAAGCACCGGCUAACUAUGUG